AUGGAAAUCAAGGUUUGGUCAAAGGAUUUGGUAAAAUUGCUAUAUCUUCUGACCAUUCUAUUUCCAAUGUUUUUCUUGUAGAUUCUUUAGAUUACAAUUUGCUUUCCGUUUCUCAAUUAUGCAAAAUGGGCUACAACUGUCUUUUUACGGAUAUAGGUGUUACUGUCUUUAGAAGAAGUGAUGAUUCAGUAGCAUUUAAGGGAGUAUCAGAGGGCCAGCUAUACUUGUGACAUUGGUUCCUAAGGCUGUAGAAGGCUUUUUACUUGGUUAUGAUUCAAACACAAGGGCAUAUAGAGUCUUUAACAAGUCCUCUGGACUAGUUGAAGUUUCUUGUGACAUUGUGUUUGUAGAGCAAGUUGAUCUUGAUGAGCUAGAUGAUGAAGAGGCUCCAUGCGUCGCGCUAAGGAACAUGUCCAUUGGGGAUGUGUGUCCUAAGGAAUCCGAAGAGCCUCCAAAAGCACAAGAUCAACCAUCUUCCUCCAUGCAAGCAUCUCCACCAACUCAAGAUGAGGAUCAAGCUCAAAAUGAUGAUGAAGAUCAAGAGGAGCCCCCUCAAGAGGAGGACAAUGAUCAAGGGGAGAUGCUAAUGAUCAAGACAAGGAAGAUGAUCCAAGGCCGCCACACCCAAGAGUCCACCAAGCAAUCCAACGAGAUCACCCUGUGAACACCAUCCUCGGCGAUAUACAUAAGGGGGUAACUACUCGAUCUCGUGUUGCUCAUUUUCGUGAACAUUACUCUUUUGUUUCCUCUAUUGAGCCACACAGGGUAGAGGAAGCACUUCAAGAUUCGGAUUGGGUGAUGGCGAUGCAAGAGGAACUCAACAACUUCACGAGGAAUGAGGUAUGACAUUUAGUUCCACGUUCUAACCAAAAUGUUGUAGGAACCAAGUGGAUCUUCCGCAACAAGCAAGAUGAACAUGAUGUGGUGACAAGGAACAAAGCCCGACUUGUGGCUAAGGGAUAUUCACAAGUCGAAGGUUUGGAUUUCGGUGAAACCUAUGCACCCGUAGCUAGGCUUGAAUCAAUUCGUAUAUUACUUGCCUACGCUACUUAUCAUGGCUUUAAGCUUUAUCAAAUGGACGUGAAAAGUGCCUUCCUCAAUGGACCAAUCAAGGAAGAGGUCUAUGUUGAGCAACCUCCCGGCUUUGAAGAUAGUGAGUACCCUAACCAUGUCUAUAAACUCUCUAAGGCGCUUUAUGGGCUCAAGCAAGCCCCAAGAGCAUGGUAUGAAUGCCUAAGAGAUUUUCUUAUCGCUAAUGACUUCAAAGUCGGAAAAGCCGAUCCUACUCUCUUUACCAAAACCCUUGCAAAUGAUUUGUUUGUAUGCCAAAUUUAUGUUGAUGAUAUCAUAUUUGAGUCUACUAACGAAUCUACAUGUGAAGAGUUUAGUAGGAUCAUGACUCAAAAAUUCGAGAUGUCGAUGAUGGGGGAGUUGAAGUAUUUUCUAGGAUUUCAAGUCAAGCAACUCCAAGAGGGCACCUUCAUUAGCCAAACGAAGUAUAUUCAAGACAUUCUCACCAAGUUUGGGAUGAAGGAUGCCAAGCCCAUCAAGACACCCAUGAGAACCAAUGGGCAUCUCGACCUCGACACGGGAGGUAAAUCCGUAGAUCAAAAGGUAUACCGGUCGAUGAUAGGUUCUUUACUCUAUUUAUGUGCUUCACGACCGGAUAUAAUGCUUUCUGUAUGCAUGUGUGCAAGAUUCCAAGCCGACCCUAAGGAAGUUAACCUUAGGGCCGUGAAAGGAAUCUUGAGAUAUUUAGUUUAUACUCCUAAGUUUGGCCUUUGGUACCCAGGGGAUCCACAUUUGAUUUAAUUGGUUACUCCGAUGCUGAUUGGGCAAGGUGUAAAAUUAAUAGAAAGAGCACAUCACGGACUUGCCAGUUCUUGGGAAGAUCUCUGGUGUCUUGGGCUUCAAAGAAGCAAAAUUCUGUCGCUCUUUCUACCGCCAAAGCCGAGUAUAUUUCCGCAGGCCAUUGUUGCGCGCAAUUGCUUUGGAUGAGGCAAAACCUCAGGGACUAUGGUUACAAAUUAACCAAAGUUCCUCUUCUAUGUGAUAAUGAGAGUGCAAUCCGCAUGGCAGAUAAUCCCGUUGAGCAUAGCCGCGCUAAACACAUAGCCAUUCGGUAUCACUUUUUAAGGGAUCACCAACAAAAGGGGGAUAUCGAGAUUGCAUAUGUUAACACCAAAGAACAAUUAGCCGAUAUCUUUACCAAGCCAUUAGAUGAGCAAACAUUUACCAAACUUAGGCAUGAGCUAAAUAUUCUUGAUUCUAGGAAUUUUGAUUGAUAUUUUGCACACAUAGCUCAUUUAUAUACCUUUGAUCAUAUCUCUUUCAUGUGCUAUGACUAAUGUGGUUUCAAGUGCAUUUCAUGCUAAGUCAUAGAUUGAAAGGGAAAUAGAGUCUUCGGCGAAGACAAGGCUUCCACUCCACUCCAUCGAAUUAUUCAUCCUUCGCCGUCACUCCACUCUCCAACUUUGGUAUAAUCUUCACUCAUAUGCUAUUUACCGUACGGGGAGAAAGUAGUUAAAAGGGCUCUAAUGACUCCGUUUUUGGCGAUUCAUGCCAAAGGGGGAGAGAGUAUUAGCCCAAAGCAAAAGGACCGUACCAUCACCAAUUUCAAAAAUUUUAGUCUUUCGAUUUGUUUUUAAAGUAGUGUUUUCAAAUUGGUAUCUUAUUAUUGAUAUAAUUUCAAAUUGGUAUACCCUCUUCAAAAUUAAUAUCUAAAACCCUCUUGAACACUAAGAGGAGGAUUUCAUUAAGGGGGAGUUUUGUUUAGUCAAAGAAAAAGCAUUUGAAACAGGGGGAGAAAAUUUCAAAUCUUGAAAAUGCUUCUCAUUUACCUUUGACUAUUUUGCCAAAGACUUUGAAAAGAAUUUCCAAAACAUUUGCAAAACAAAACAUGUGGUGCAAGCGUGGUCCAAAAUUUUUAAAUUAGAAGAAAGUCAUCCAUGCAUAUCUAGUAGAAAUGAUUAUUGGUUUCAUUCCAAGCAACCUUUGCACUUACAUUAUGCAAACUAGUUCAAUUCUGCACUUCUAUAUUUGCUUUGGUUUGUGUUGGCAUCAAUCACCAAAAAGGGGGAGAUUGAAAGGGAAAUAGGCUUACACCUUUUCCUAAUUAAUUUUGGUGGUUGAAUUGCCCAACACAAAUAAUUGGACUAACUAGUUUGCUCUAGAUUAUAAGUUUCACAGGUGCCAAAGGUUCACAACAAACCAAUAAAAAGACCAAGAAAGGGUUCAAACAAAGAGAGCAAAAGACAACCGAAGUGUGCCCUGGUCUGGCGCACCGGACUGUCCGGUGUGCCACCGGACUGUCUGGUGCACCAGGGAACUCAACUCCAAACUGCUCACCUUCGGGAAUUCUGGGAGCCGCUCCGCUAUAAUUCACCGGACUGUCCGGUGUAGCACCGGACUGUCCGGUGCGCCAGUGGAGUAACGGCUACUACAGCGCCAACAGUCGCCUGCAACAGCAUUAAAUGCGCUACUGUGCGCGCAGAAGUCAGGCACGCGCCAGAAGGCACACCGAACAGUCUACAGGACCUGUCCGGUGCACCACCGGACUGUCCGGUGGCCCAGAAGAUAGAAGCUCCAACGGUCGAACCCUAACGGUCGGGUGACGUGGCUGGCGCACCGGACAGUGUCCGGUGGCGCACUGGACUGUCCGGUGCGCCAUGCGACAGCAGCCUCCACCAAACGGCUAGUUUGGUGGUUGGGGCUAUAAAUACCCCCAACCACCCACCAUUCAUUGCAUCUAAGUUUUCAGCCUUCAUACACCUUACAAGAGCUAUAGCAUUCAAUACAAGACACAACCAAAGAGAUCAAAUCCUCUCCCAAGUCCAAAGAUCAUUCCAAUCAAAUAGUGACUCGUGAGAGAGAGACUUAUGUUCAUUUGAGCUCUUGCGCUUGGAUUGCUUUUCUUCUUCCUUCUUUCUUGUGUUCAACUCAAUUGUAACCAAGGCAAGAGACACCAAUUGUGUGGUGGUCCUUGUGGGAACUUAGUGUCCCGUUUGAUUGAGAAGAAAAGCUCACUCGGUCUAGGUGACCGUUUGAGAGAGGGAAAGGGUUGAAAGAGACCCGGUCUUUGUGACCACCUCAACGGGGAGUAGGUUUGCAAGAACCGAACCUCGGUAAAACAAAUCAUCGUGUCAUCCGCCUUAUUUGCUUGUGAUUCAUUUUCGCCCUCUCUUUCGGACUCGUUUAUAAUUCUAACGCUAACCCCGGCUUGUAGUUGUGCUUAAAGUUUGUAAAUUUCAGAUUCGCCCUAUUCACCCCCCUCUAGGCGACUUUCACUUAACAUGGUUUAAAAUGUUAAGAAGUGUGACAUAUAGCUUUUUAAUCUUUUCAAGUGGUAUCUAGUACUUACAAGUGGUAUCAUUUGAUUUACAUAAUAUGUGCUAAAUUCCAAAUUAUAGAUAACUUACUCCUAAUAUCACCUACAAGUAAUGCUUGCACUCGUGUGGCAUUUCCUUGUCAAGUGGUUUUUUGGCCUUAAUAGUCUAAGUGCAUUUAUCCUACAAAUAUUCAAACUUGUGUGCAAACUUUUAAGGCUGGUCACCCUAUACAUUGAUAUCUCUGAGACUAACAUCUUUUUCAAGUCUAUCAUGUAUGUAGGAGAUUCACUAAAAGAAAAAAAGUUCGUAGAGUAAAGCAAUAUACUUCAACUAACAAGUGUUAUCAUGCACAAAUGGUAUCAUGAACUUCUACAUGUGGUGUCUCUAAACCAAUGUCAUUGUGUAGUCCUUCAUUCGGUAUCAGGAUCUUCAUGUGGGAAUUGCUACGCAUAAGGUUUACUAUUCAUAAUGUGUAUGCAUACAUAUAGUGGGAACUUAGUCUAUAUAAUGUGAGAGUCGAUUUUAUGAUCAGUCUCCUAUAAAAUAGGAGAACCUUCAAAUCAAAAGGGGAGAAGUUUUUAGGUUCACAAAAUUAUUUGCUUGCUUUGAUUGUGUUGUCAUUCACUAAAAAGGAGAUAUUAUAGGAAAAAUAGACUCGGGCCAUUGAUAGUCGAGUUUUGAUGUUUGAUGAUCAAUGUGACCAUUUGAGCUAACAUUAUUUCCUAAUGUUUUAGAUAUAGUUCAAAGGAUGCUCGGGUGUGAACUUAGAUGAAGGCAAAGAGGUGAUCUAGAAGAUCAACGGCUCAAGAAAGACACUAGAAGACUUAUUAAAAAUCUAAACAAUUAUGCAAGGGUACAAGAUAAGACGAAGACAUAUGGAGACAGAAAAAAACAACUUAACAGCACCAGAUAUGUCUAAAGAGGCACAGGAUAAUUAAACUAAAGAUACGAGUGUUACUGUACUGAAAAGUGUGAAUGAAAUAGAAUACUUUAGACAUGCAGGUGUGCAUUAGAUACAACACCCAUACAAGAAUAUGAUGUGUUUGGAAAAAUCCACAAGACACCAGAUGUAUCUAGUGUGCCAACGGAUACCCCACCAGACGAGUAGUUG
RNAcentral lists this long non-coding RNA (5439 nucleotides) under Zea mays. RNAcentral describes it as "long non-coding RNA (ZMAY_LNC005246)". The record is from RNAcentral. Lineage: Eukaryota; Viridiplantae; Streptophyta; Magnoliopsida; Poales; Poaceae.